CAGCAGCCGCGGUAACACGGAGGGUGCAAGCGUUAAUCGGAAUUACUGGGCGUAAAGCGCACGCAGGCGGUCUGACAAGUCAGAUGUGAAAUCCCCGGGCUUAACCUGGGAACUGCAUUUGAAACUGUCAGGCUGGAGUCUUGUAGAGGGGGGUGGAAUUCCAGGUGUAGCGGUGAAAUGCGUAGAGAUCUGGAGGAAUACCGGUGGCGAAGGCGGCCCCCUGGACAAAGACUGACGCUCAGGUGCGAAAGCGUGGGGAGCAAACAGGAUUAGAUACCCGGGUAGUCCCUGUCUCUUAUAC
This 301-nucleotide ribosomal RNA is filed under the name uncultured bacterium. Its description in RNAcentral is "partial 16S ribosomal RNA". It matches the Rfam family "Bacterial small subunit ribosomal RNA", at positions 509 to 807 of the family's 1533-position model. The record is from RNAcentral.